Molecule: non-coding RNA, 691 nt
Filed under: Pan troglodytes (chimpanzee)
Lineage: Eukaryota; Metazoa; Chordata; Mammalia; Primates; Hominidae
Source: RNAcentral
AUAAUCCAUUUUAAAGCGAGAAAACAAGAUAAUUCAAGGGAAAAAUGUAUGACUCUAAAUUUGUAAACCAGACAGGAUCUGCUAAUACGGGGCAGAAUGUUAAAAAGAGGAUGAAUUUUGAUUUCAGAAAAUUUAGAAGAAAAUGGAUUUCUCAGGCAACUGAAAGAACAUAUUUGGAUCUGUUAAGAUGAAAGGAGACUUCAAGAGAACUGGACUUUGUGUUGGACAGGCUGUCUGUGACAGGGAAAAACCCCUUCUGAAUGAUUAGGGAUGAAUCAGUUAACUGGCUUGAGUUUCACAUUCUUCAUCUGUAAAAUCUGGUGAUUAGACUGGUCCAGCAAAAGAUAUAAUGGGCAAAAGAUAUAAUACACAUAAAUUGGAAUGAAUCUGCAUUUUCCAAGCCUGAUGACUUUAUUAAAACUGAAUUAAGUCACUAACUAGCAGCCUGAAGAUGAAAGGAAAGAACUCAGUCAUGCUUCUUAAGGUAAAAGGGCAGUCUAACUGAGAAUUUUGUUAUCUCUGAGGACAAAUUACAAGGAGAUAAAGACACUCAAGAUCACAAGGAAGGCUUCUGCUCCCACUUAGAGACUGCAAUGUAAGGUAUGGAAACAGAAUAUUCUCUAUAGAAACAUACAUGUUAAAAUAUGAACAUUUUUGUUCUUAUUUCAAUCCAAAAAUAAAUAAAUGAAUU